GAUGAACGCUGGCGGCGUGCCUAAUACAUGCAAGUCGAGCGAACGGACGAGAAGCUUGCUUCUCUGAUGUUAGCGGCGGACGGAUGAGUAACACGUGGAUAACCUACCUAUAAGACUGGGAUAACUUCGGGAAACCGGAGCUAAUACCGGAUAAUAUUUUGAACCGCAUGGUUCAAAAGUGAAAGACGGUCUUGUUGUCACUUAUAGAUGGAUCCGUGCUGCAUUAGCUAGUUGGUAAGGUAACGGCUUACCAAGGCAACGAUGCAUAGCCGACCUGAGAGGGUGAUCGGCCACACUGGAACUGAGACACGGUCCAGACUCCUACGGGAGGCAGCAGUAGGGAAUCUUCCGCAAUGGGCGAAAGCCUGACGGAGCAACGCCGCGUGAGUGAUGAAGGUCUUCGGAUCGUAAAACUCUGUUAUUAGGGAAGAACAUAUGUGUAAGUAACUGUGCACAUCUUGACGGUACCUAAUCAGAAAGCCACGGCUAACUACGUG
Molecule: ribosomal RNA, 497 nt
Filed under: uncultured bacterium
Lineage: Bacteria
Description: partial 16S ribosomal RNA
Rfam family: Bacterial small subunit ribosomal RNA
Source: RNAcentral